Long non-coding RNA from Impatiens glandulifera, 643 nucleotides. RefSeq lists it as uncharacterized. The transcript is spliced from 4 exons. The record is from RefSeq and is a predicted model, not a curated record. Lineage: Eukaryota; Viridiplantae; Streptophyta; Magnoliopsida; Ericales; Balsaminaceae.
CGCAUUUCUCUUUCGUACUCAUUUCACUUCAAGUUCUGCUACAAUGAGAUUACGUCGAAAUGCACCACUUCAUCUUCAUCUUCAUCUUCUUAAUUUCUUUAUGCGGAUUUUGUCAUUUCGUCUAUGCAUUUUUCGAAUUUCACCUUCCAGAUGCGCCAUCAGUUACGAGAUGGUCCCUCGGCUCGGGAAAUGGAUUCUCUUCCAUCGAAUGGACGAAUAAGUUAGCGUCGCGUUCUAUGAACGGAUGACUGACCACGAUCGACAGAUAGAAGGACAUAUCACAGUUUGGUUUGGGGUUAAAUUAUUUGAACGGAGGCUGAUUUGUCCAAGCAUUUGAAUAUGAAAAGUAUUUCAGGUAUUCAUCAACAUUCUUGUUGCUGAAAAAUUUUCAGAAUUCUUGCGUGUUGAUCAUUAAUUCAUCAAAUCUCAGGCGGACAAAUUAGAUCCAGUUUGUGUGUUUAAAUGUGAAGUGGAGCUGAUGAAUUUUGUCCUGAAAUUCUCACUUCUGUUGCUUGAAAUUGGUCAUUUUGCUAAAGCUAUAAAGUAAUUUUGAUUUUCUUUUUGUAAUAAGAAAUAGUUGUGGCCUAAUUAUUGUUCAAUGUAAGUUAUGAAAUUGUUAAAACCUUGAAACUAAAUAUUUUAU